UGAGAUAAAAGUUCUCUGUCACAUGUGGAAAACAGACUGACUUGGCUUGGAAACUCUCUGAAGACAGAUGAUAUGGAAGGACAGAGAAGGGACUGGUCGAUGAAACGGCUCACCCACCGACGGAGGCAAAGCAUACCGUUUUCAGGACAACAUACUGCAUCUCAGAAAGCACUUUCCAGAGACCACCAAUCUGAAGCUUAUCUCCACUGAACCUCUUGUUAGCACCAUUUUAAAGCCAGGAGUCUAGCAGAGGCCACUCGACGCAUCUCCCCAGCUGGUGGAGUCCUUCCCUGUGGCGCGGGCACUGUGAGG
Molecule: long non-coding RNA, 312 nt
Organism: Tachyglossus aculeatus (Australian echidna)
Lineage: Eukaryota; Metazoa; Chordata; Mammalia; Monotremata; Tachyglossidae
Exons: 3
Source: RefSeq, a predicted model, not a curated record